GACGAACGCUGGCGGCGUGCUUAACACAUGCAAGUCGAACGGAAAGGCCCUGCUUUUGUGGGGUGCUCGAGUGGCGAACGGGUGAGUAACACGUGAGUAACCUGCCCUUGACUUUGGGAUAACUUCAGGAAACUGGGGCUAAUACCGGAUAGGAGCUCCUGCUGCAUGGUGGGGGUUGGAAAGUUUCGGCGGUUGGGGAUGGAAUCGCGGCUUAUCAGCUUGUUGGUGGGGUAGUGGCUUACCAAGGCUUUGACGGGUAGCCGGACUGAGAGGGUGACCGGCCACAUUGGGACUGAGAUACGGCCCAGACUCCUACGGGAGGCAGCAGUGGGGAAUAUUGCACAAUGGGCGGAAGCCUGAUGCAGCAACGCCGCGUGCGGGAUGACGGCCUUCGGGUUGUAAACCGCUUUCGCCUGUGACGAAGCGUGAGUGACGGUAAUGGGUAAAGAAGCACCGGCUAACUACGUG
This 468-nucleotide ribosomal RNA is filed under the name uncultured bacterium. RNAcentral describes it as "partial 16S ribosomal RNA". It matches the Rfam family "Bacterial small subunit ribosomal RNA", at positions 28 to 507 of the family's 1533-position model. The record is from RNAcentral.